This 469-nucleotide ribosomal RNA is filed under the name uncultured bacterium. RNAcentral describes it as "partial 16S ribosomal RNA". It matches the Rfam family "Bacterial small subunit ribosomal RNA", at positions 28 to 507 of the family's 1533-position model. The record is from RNAcentral.
GACGAACGCUGGCGGCGUGCUUAACACAUGCAAGUCGAACGGAAAGACCCUGCUUGCCGGGUGCUCGAGUGGCGAACGGGUGAGUAACACGUGGGUGAUCUGCCCCUUACUUUGGGAUAAGCCUGGGAAACUGGGUCUAAUACUGGAUAGGACCAUGCUGUAGGUGGUGUGGUGGAAAGAUUAGUUUCGGUAAGGGAUGAGCUCGCGGCCUAUCAGCUUGUUGGUGGGGUAAUGGCCUACCAAGGCGUCGACGGGUAGCCGGCCUGAGAGGGUGGACGGCCACAUUGGGACUGAGAUACGGCCCAGACUCCUACGGGAGGCAGCAGUGGGGAAUAUUGCACAAUGGGCGCAAGCCUGAUGCAGCGACGCCGCGUGGGGGAUGACGGCCUUCGGGUUGUAAACUCCUUUCAGCCAUGACGAAGCCCUUGUGGUGACGGUAGUGGUAGAAGAAGCACCGGCUAACUACGUG